Molecule: ribosomal RNA, 1345 nt
Filed under: uncultured bacterium
Lineage: Bacteria
Description: partial 16S ribosomal RNA
Rfam family: Bacterial small subunit ribosomal RNA
Source: RNAcentral
GACGAACGCUGGCGGCGUGCUUAACACAUGCAAGUCGAACGGAAAGGCCCUGCUUUUGUGGGGUGCUCGAGUGGCGAACGGGUGAGUAACACGUGAGUAACCUGCCCUUGACUUUGGGAUAACUUCAGGAAACUGGGGCUAAUACCGGAUAGGAGCUCCUGCUGCAUGGUGGGGGUUGGAAAGUUUCGGCGGUUGGGGAUGGACUCGCGGCUUAUCAGCUUGUUGGUGGGGUAGUGGCUUACCAAGGCUUUGACGGGUAGCCGGCCUGAGAGGGUGACCGGCCACAUUGGGACUGAGAUACGGCCCAGACUCCUACGGGAGGCAGCAGUGGGGAAUAUUGCACAAUGGGCGGAAGCCUGAUGCAGCAACGCCGCGUGCGGGAUGACGGCCUUCGGGUUGUAAACCGCUUUCGCCUGUGACGAAGCGUGAGUGACGGUAAUGGGUAAAGAAGCACCGGCUAACUACGUGCCAGCAGCCGCGGUGAUACGUAGGGUGCGAGCGUUGUCCGGAUUUAUUGGGCGUAAGGGCUCGUAGGUGGUUGAUCGCGUCGGAAGUGUAAUCUUGGGGCUUAACCCUGAGCGUGCUUUCGAUACGGGUUGACUUGAGGAAGGUAGGGGAGAAUGGAAUUCCUGGUGGAGCGGUGGAAUGCGCAGAUAUCAGGAGGAACACCAGUGGCGAAGGCGGUUCUCUGGGCCUUUCCUGACGCUGAGGAGCGAAAGCGUGGGGAGCGAACAGGCUUAGAUACCCUGGUAGUCCACGCUGUAAACGGUGGGUACUAGGUGUGGGGUCCAUUCCACGGGUUCCGCGCCGUAGCUAACGCUUUAAGUACCCCGCCUGGGGAGUACGGCCGCAAGGCUAAAACUCAAAGGAAUUGACGGGGCCCCGCACAAGCGGCGGAGCAUGCGGAUUAAUUCGAUGCAACGCGUAGAACCUUACCUGGGUUUGACAUGGAUCGGGAGUGCUCAGAGAUGGGUGUGCCUCUUUUGGGGUCGGUUCACAGGUGGUGCAUGGCUGUCGUCAGCUCGUGUCGUGAGAUGUUGGGUUAAGUCCCGCAACGAGCGCAACCCUUGUUCACUGUUGCCAGCACGUUAUGGUGGGGACUCAGUGGAGACCGCCGGGGUCAACUCGGAGGAAGGUGGGGAUGACGUCAAGUCAUCAUGCCCCUUAUGUCCAGGGCUUCACGCAUGCUACAAUGGCUGGUACAGAGAGUGGCGAGCCUGUGAGGGUGAGCGAAUCUCGGAAAGCCGGUCUCAGUUCGGAUUGGGGUCUGCGACUCGACCUCAUGAAGUCGGAGUCGCCAGUAAUCGCAGAUCAGCAACGCUGCGGUGAAUACGUUCCCGGGGCU